UCUGGAUGUUGGUGUUUUCCAGGGUCGCACAUAAAGUCCUAUAGUGUUUUUGGAAAGUUGAGAGAAUAAUCUUCGAGAUUUCCCUCUCAUACUCACACUACAGUUAAUAAUUUUUUUUUUGCAGAGCCACCCAGCAGUAACGACUUGUCCUGCAUCAUUCAAGCUUUUGUAGGACCCGUAAAUGUUAAGAAAACUCUGAAGGUUCAUGCGAGUUCUUCUCACUAGUAGUUGCCCUGGUUUGCUGUUACGCAUAUGAUGUAUGCUUAGGUGAUGUAAAUUCCAGAAGAGAAAGUUGUGUUUUCACCUUCUGUCAAGACUUGCAGUAGGAGCUGGACAUCUUUAUUCCUCAGAGAUUCCCUGGUGUGCUGGGUACCUCAGAGCAAAAUUCCCAUCCUCCUCCUGUUGCCCUUUUCCCAGCAAUUACUAUUUGGAUUUUCCAUGAAUCACUUAGAGGUUCAAGUAUUUAAUCAUGUCAUAGGAUUUUAAGAGAACCUGUUGGGUAGAUUCGGCUUGUGUGCUGUAGAUGCUAACGUGACCUGUGGGCAGAACCAGCACGUCUAAGGCGUUCGUCAGGGCAUUCAGAACUAUGCAGCACUGAUACAGCAACAAAUUAAUGAGGACAAACAAAACUUGAGAGAAAAGACUGUGUAUGGAAUCCAGCUCACAGAAGAAAAACUUAAUGACUUCCGUGAUGAACAGAUUGGGCAGCUGAAGGAACUGA
RNA transcript from Chroicocephalus ridibundus (black-headed gull), 721 nucleotides. It is a transcript of the gene named succinate dehydrogenase complex assembly factor 3, with no coding region annotated. The transcript has 3 exons. NCBI's taxonomy places the organism in Eukaryota, Metazoa, Chordata, Aves, Charadriiformes, Laridae. The record is from RefSeq and is a predicted model, not a curated record.